Small nucleolar RNA from Danio rerio (zebrafish), 77 nucleotides. Its record names the gene SNORD83. It matches the Rfam family "Small nucleolar RNA SNORD83". From Rfam's summary of the family: U83 (SNORD83) and U84 (SNORD84) are members of the C/D class of snoRNA which contain the C (UGAUGA) and D (CUGA) box motifs. They act as guanine methylation guides but lack complementarity to ribosomal RNA. U83 and U84 are spliced from introns 5 and 4 of the BAT1 gene in mammals. The record is from Ensembl. Lineage: Eukaryota; Metazoa; Chordata; Actinopteri; Cypriniformes; Danionidae.
GCCACAUGAUGUGAUGUAGAUUGCAUUAGCACACUGUGCAGAGAUGACCAGUUAUCUAUCACCCAUGACUGAUGGCU